CGCACCUAAAAGCGUUUUCUUGUACGCUAACAUAUGCGCUUGAAAAUCGUAGUUGUGUGCCAAAGCACAGUCCAGUCGCAAGUGACUUUAGAAGGUUACUACUAUAGUCCCAAAAAGUCUGGCUACAAUA
This is a small nucleolar RNA of Scaptodrosophila lebanonensis, 130 nucleotides long. RefSeq annotates it as small nucleolar RNA psi28S-3316. NCBI's taxonomy places the organism in Eukaryota, Metazoa, Arthropoda, Insecta, Diptera, Drosophilidae. The record is from RefSeq and is a predicted model, not a curated record. The transcript has a single exon.